AGAGAGAGAGAGAGAGAGAGACGUCUCAACGAGGGUAAGCCGCAAUUUUUUUUAUCCCCUUACGUUUGUCAGUUCUUUAUUGCAAAGAAUUAGCGCUAAAUUUCUAUUGCUUGAUUUGCCUUGCUUGGAUAUGAAUAAAUUUUCGAAUUCUUGAAUUUUCUGGAGUUUCUCAUACAGCCCCAGCUCUGUAAUUUGAUUUUCUAGAGGGUUUCAAUGCUCGAAUUUUGCAUUCGGUUCAUGAAAACAUUUGAUGCCAUGUGAUUGUGAAAGCGUUUUCAUUCAUAUCAGAAAAUGAAAUAGUUUCAAUUCGAUGUUCAAAUGAUAUCUGCCAUUAUUUCAAUAGUGCACCUGUCAAAGAGUUGAGAGUAUGUGCAGAUAAUCUGUAAGCUAAUAGAGAGUUUUCUUUGUGUAAGGUAAUAAAAAUGGGGCUUUGGUAUAAUUACAGCGUAACUGAAGUUGGUGGAUCAGACAUGGAGUCUGAUCAGGGUUUUCCCCCCAUUUUUGUGGUAAAUAUUGGCAUUUUUAGUUUCUAAUUUAUGAUGUAGACAUUUAAUAAGGUUGGUUUGUGUGAAUUUGAUGAUACGGUAGUUCUUAAAUGUUCAUAAUAAUUAAUUUUAGGUGGGUUUCUUUGAUAUUCAUUUUAACUUAAAAUGUAUUUUUAUCUUGUUAAACAUAGCAUAAAAACUGUAUCUCUUCAUAUUUGAUUUUUUUCUUCCAUCUUGUUUCCCUUCAGCCUGUAACUGUUCUCUAGACCUCCCAUAUUUAAUGGUUGCACUUUCACAGUAAUUUUUUAAAUUGUGAUACAGCUACUUGGAGCUAUUAAAAUGAAGUUUUACAUUCUAAAUGACCACUCUAGAAUACUUGUGUGUUAGAUUGAAGAAUAUAUAGUGACCUGCAGAGGAAAUUCUGCAAACAAACCGUUUACCUUCUAUCUUAGGGCAUUUUAUGAUCUUAUUUAACUGAGGGAAAGUCUUUUUUUUUUAUAUAUAUAUUUUUAUGGCAGUUGUCAUCUUACUGCUGACUUAUUUAUUUAUUUUUCAAAUUCAUGUGUUUCAGUGCUUGAAAAGCAGAGCUCUUACACAAAGUUGAUAAGGCUUCAAUUGUUAGCUAAGCAAUGAUAGCACCGAGUAAAUCUUCUCCCAUAGUAUCAAAUCUUUUGGUGCCCUGCAUACAUCCCAAGAGUCUGAAAUUCUUAAAAUCCUCAAGUAUACACCAUGUUGUUAACUUCCCUAAAAUUUGGAUUAAUCAUACUCCUGUUUGCUGCACAAAAUUAACUCCAUGGGAGCCUUCACCAGUCACGUAUGCUCCCACUGAUGAUGCUGCUGGUAGCUUCUUGGAGAAAAGUAGCAACAUAUUUGAAACUCUUCAUUCCAAUGACAGAACUGAAGCACCAACAGCCACCAGUGAAGAGUGUGCGGAUACCAAGAAUAAGCAAUUGGUGCAGUUUCAGUUUCUUAAAUGGCCUAUGUGGCUCCUGGGUCCUUCUCUUCUUCUCACCACUGGCAUGGUGCCCACAUUAUGGCUACCACUUUCUUCUAUAUUCCUAGGCCCCAAUAUAGCCAGCCUGCUUUCCUUGAUUGGACUGGAUUGCAUCUUCAAUAUUGGUGCUACUCUUUUUCUUCUCAUGGCUGACGCUUGUUCCCGGCCAAAAAAGAUGGCACAAGCCAGCAAUAGCAAGCCUCCUUUCAGUUACAAAUUGUGGAACAUGGUUGCAUCUGUGUCUGGACUUGUCAUUCCUUUGUUGAUGCUGUUGGGAUCCCAAAAAGGCUCCCUCCAACCACAGCUGCCUUUUAUCUCGUUUACAGUUUUGUUGGGUCCCUACCUCCUGCUUCUAUCUGUACAGAUUCUGACUGAGAUGCUGACUUGGCAUUGGCAGUCACCAGUGUGGUUGGCAACUCCAGUUGUAUACGAGGCAUAUCGUGUGUUACAGCUGAUGAGGGGGUUGAAGCUUGGAGCUGAGCUCAGUGCACCGGCGUGGAUGAUGCAUAUGCUUAGGGGGCUCGUAUGUUGGUGGAUCCUGAUCCUGGGUAUUCAACUCAUGAGAGUUGCUUGGUUUGCUGGUUUCACUGCUCAAGCUCGCCGGCAACUGUCUUCUGCUUCUGCAGAUAGUUAAUAUAUUACUCAUUGUUACCAAAGAAUAUGGAUGAAGAAUCAUGGCUUCAGAUACAGAUUAUUUUAUUGUACGAUCAAAUAAUGUCUAGAUUGCAGGGUUCCUAGUGUAUUCACACUGUUCUUUUGGUUUCCAGUGAAUUUAGAAUAGGAUGAAGUUUUUAUGUGCGGUGAUAAAAGUAAUGUGCUUCAUACAUACCAUGACAUCCCAUGUAAUGUAACCAUAGUGACGAAGUUGACAAAAUGUUUGAGCUUUUUAGCUAGCAGGCUUGCAUUUUAAUACAAAUCUUCAAUAUUAUAGAUUGCUU
RNAcentral lists this unclassified non-coding RNA (2417 nucleotides) under Hevea brasiliensis (rubber tree). Lineage: Eukaryota; Viridiplantae; Streptophyta; Magnoliopsida; Malpighiales; Euphorbiaceae. The record is from RNAcentral.